This 249-nucleotide ribosomal RNA is filed under the name uncultured Lactobacillus sp. RNAcentral describes it as "partial 16S ribosomal RNA". It matches the Rfam family "Bacterial small subunit ribosomal RNA", at positions 114 to 355 of the family's 1533-position model. Lineage: Bacteria; Bacillati; Bacillota; Bacilli; Lactobacillales; Lactobacillaceae. The record is from RNAcentral.
CACGUGGGGAACCUGCCCCAUAGUCUGGGAUACCACUUGGAAACAGGUGCUAAUACCGGAUAAGAAAGCAGAUCGCAUGAUCAGCUUUUAAAAGGCGGCGUAAGCUGUCGCUAUGGGAUGGCCCCGCGGUGCAUUAGCUAGUUGGUAAGGUAAAGGCUUACCAAGGCGAUGAUGCAUAGCCGAGUUGAGAGACUGAUCGGCCACAUUGGGACUGAGACACGGCCCAAACUCCUACGGGAGGCAGCAGCU